This 464-nucleotide ribosomal RNA is filed under the name uncultured bacterium. Its description in RNAcentral is "bacterial SSU rRNA". It matches the Rfam family "Bacterial small subunit ribosomal RNA", at positions 8 to 471 of the family's 1533-position model. The record is from RNAcentral.
AGAGUUUGAUCCUGGCUCAGAUUGAACGCUAGCGGGAUGCCUUACACAUGCAAGUCGAACGGCAGCGCGGGCUUCGGCCCGGCGGCGAGUGGCGAACGGGUGAGUAAUGCUCGGAACGUACCCAGUAGUGGGGGAUAACCACGCGAAAGCGUGGCUAAUACCGCAUACGCCCUUAGGGGGAAAGGGGGGGGAUCCUUCGGGACCUCUCGCUAUUGGAGCGGCCGAUGUCGGAUUAGCUAGUUGGUGGGGUAAAGGCCUACCAAGGCGACGAUCCGUAGCUGGUUUGAGAGGACGACCAGCCACACUGGGACAUGAGACACGGCCCAGACUCCUACGGGAGGCGGCAGUGGGGAAUUUUGGACAAUGGGGGAAACCCUGAUCCAGCCAUCCCGCGUGUGCGAUGAAGGCCUUCGGGUUGUAAAGCACUUUUGGCAGGAAAGAAAUAGGCCUGGCUAAUACCUGGG